ACUGAAAAGUAUUCCUCUCGUUAUACAUGUGGGCGCCUAUUUAAACUAAGACAUGAAAAUUAUUCCUCUCAUUAUACAGGUGGGCGCCUAUUUAAACUAAGACAUGAAAAUUAUUCCUCUCGUUAUACAGGUGGGCGCCUAUUUAAACUAAGACUGAAAAUUAUUCCUCUCGUUAUACAGGUGGGCGCCUAUUUAAACUAAGACAUGAAAAUUAUUCCUCUCGUUAUACAGGUGGGCGCCUAUUUAAACUAAGACUGAAAAAUUAUUCCUCUUGUUAUACAGGUGGGCGCCUAUUUAAACUAAGACUGAAAAGUAUUCCUCUCGUUAUACAGGUGGGCGCCUAUUUAAACUAAGACAUGAAAAUUAUUCCUCUCGUUAUACAGGUGGGCGACUAUUUAAACUAAGACAUGAAAAUUAUUCCUCUCGUUAUACAGGUGGACGCCUAUUUAAACUAAGACAUGAAACUACCCCCUUCAGGAGUUUACUUCUCCCGGA
RNAcentral lists this long non-coding RNA (495 nucleotides) under Nicotiana tabacum (common tobacco). RNAcentral's name for it is "long non-coding RNA (NTAB_LNC018542)". Lineage: Eukaryota; Viridiplantae; Streptophyta; Magnoliopsida; Solanales; Solanaceae. The record is from RNAcentral.